CUUUUCAAGACUUCUCUGUCUCCCCAUAAAUGAAAUAAUCUCACGCUGUAGCCCAGGUUGGCUUUGAACUUCCGUCAAUCCUCCUGCCUCAUCCUGCCAGAUGUUGGAAUUACAGGUAUGAGUCAGUACACCAAGCCUAAAAUGGUGGUGUUACGUCACUGAGAGCGCAUGUGGAACCCCAAAGUGUAUUUACAGAACAACACUGUAUGUACAGCAGCUUUGUCAUUGUUUUCUGAGAUACCAUCUUGCUUCAAAGCCCAGACUGGCCUCCAGGAUUCACGGUCCUGUUAGCCUCAGUGGUGUUACUGGGGUGAGAGGAGUUGCCACUUCCCUGGAUUUCCCUGGAGCUCCUGGAGUUGGAUGGGUCUGGGGAAGUUUGGUGCUAGCGUGUGGUCUUACGUGCUUCCCUCUGACCAUUUAGGUGGGCACCUGUCUGAGAGCACUGGCCCGCCAUAGGGAGGGCUCAUGUCACGUCACCACGUAGUAUGUCUGUGUCAGCCCCAGCCUUGUCUGUUUUAGGAGAACCACGCUGUGUGGCACCCUGGACUACCUGCCCCCGGAGAUGAUUGAAGGUCGGAUGCAUGACGAGAAGGUGGACCUCUGGAGCCUGGGGGUGCUCUGCUAUGAGUUCCUAGUGGGGAUGCCUCCUUUUGAGGCACACACUUAUCAGGAGACCUACAGAAGGAUAUCACGGGUUGAAUUCACAUUCCCUGACUUUGUGACGGAGG
Molecule: long non-coding RNA, 728 nt
Filed under: Rattus norvegicus (Norway rat)
Lineage: Eukaryota; Metazoa; Chordata; Mammalia; Rodentia; Muridae
Description: long non-coding RNA NONRATT020019
Source: RNAcentral